UCCCAGCCCCAGAGGGAUGUGAAACCGAGAGGGGAACAAUGGCUCAGCUGAUGCCUUACAUGCUGAUCUGCAAAAUUCUCCCCAGCAUAGGAUUCCUAUUUUGUUUUCAUUGCAAUCGUGGGCUUGGCCAGAGACUUGAGCUGGGGCCAUGGAGUGGUGUACUGAAUGGAAUCCUGAAUCUGGAGUCCAGAAGCCUGGAACUAAGUAGUCCUAGGGGUUACUAAUUGUGGAAUCAUUGUUUGGAAGUGAAGAUGGUGGAAGAGAGAGAAGACAUGGCGGAACCCAUGAGUUACAUGGAUAUUCUUGGAAUGUGAAAGAUCCAGAGGAAGACCUUCAAAGCACCAUCCUUCUAUGAGAUGACAUGGACAAUAAUAUCAUGGAAUGAAAUGGCAUGAAUGAAUUGUCUCUAACCCUUAAGGGAAAUUAUGGGGAAAUAUCAAAUUAGUAGACUUGCUUCAUAAGGCUGAGUGUUCUUCACAUCUACUCCAGACUCGCCAUCUUGCCUGAUGCUUUGGCCAUCUUCAUGCCAUUCUUUCUUUUCCCUUCCCAAACCUUGUCUUUACCCUUCUCUUCAACACACACACACACACACACACACACACACACUUUCUGACUCUAGUUCUGAGAAUAAUAAUCAAAUCUACAUUCUCAUUCUUGGAUCAAACACAUUCAUCAAUUGCCCUAUGGAUCUAUUCACUGUUUCAGUGACUUCUCAGACUAAAUCAUAUCUCCACAGCCACCACUACUUUAUAUGUUGCUUUCUCUCUUUAGAAUAUAAGCUUCUUGAAAGCAGGGUCUGUCUUGCCUUUUCAUUUGUACCCCAAAGUUGAGCAUACAUAAUACCUGGCACAAAAUAAAAGCUUAAUAAAUGCAUUUCA
Monodelphis domestica (gray short-tailed opossum) is the source of this 878-nucleotide long non-coding RNA. RefSeq lists it as uncharacterized. NCBI's taxonomy places the organism in Eukaryota, Metazoa, Chordata, Mammalia, Didelphimorphia, Didelphidae. The record is from RefSeq and is a predicted model, not a curated record.